GAGACAAACGCAUUAUAUAACGCAAAAAUUUAAUUCGGUCGUAAACAAUUUGAAGCUGCAGGAGGUUAUUGAAAUGAGCGAAAAAAAGCAUAAUCGAAUAUACUGAUUAGAUGUUCUUAAUUCUUUGUUUUCGGCCUACCUCGACCUCGACCUCGAGGCUUCCGAGCAUUGGAAACUGGCAUAUCAUCAUCACUUAUACAAUCUUCCGAAUUCAAUCCUGCAUCGCGACAACGCCCGCAAGGACGCUGACGAUCGCAACCUUUUUUUGACUUUUUACACCUUGAACAUCUGCUUCUACUAAUAGCAGCAGCAAAAUCAGAAAACGUAACCGAAGAAGUGGAAUUGGGAUUAACUUCCGAUGCUUCUUUACCCUUCCGUUCAACUGUUGAACUGGAAACAGUCAUUGGGCCAGUUGAAGCGAGACUUGUAUUUGACGACGAAGCAUCUAAAGUUGAAGUAUGGUUAUGGUCAGGGCGACGCCGUUUAGCAGAAGUAGAGGAAGAUGCGUUACCAAAAUCUUGAGGAGGAAGAGAACGUUUCUCUACUUUUUCGGAUUUUACAACUCCAGAUGCCUUCGUAGGUUUAACUGUGGAUUGAACGGGGCUUGAAAUAGAUACAAAGCUUUUAGAAGGUGAUGAUUUGACAGAAUUGGAACUUAAAGCCCCUAAACGGAUUAGCUGCCAAGCUACGUCUUCGUCAGAUAUAGUGCUUUUAGACGAUUCAGCCGAUGGAGGAGCAGGAGCAGCAAUUGGCUGAGGAAGAGAUACUGGUUGAGUUGAAUAUUGAACUGGAUAAGGAGUAGGUAAAGAUAAAGGGGAUCUAUCUGAUGAGUUCAAAAUAGGAGGUAUAGAACAACUUUUAGUUUUAGUAAGAUGAUUUGGAAGAGGCUCGCAAUAGGAACAAACCUGGUUAGGGGAUGUCGAUUUUUGAGGAACAGCAACGUAACGAGGAUUGGAAAAGGAAUGAGGAGAAUGAGAAACUGUGUAGGCUGGUGAAGCAACUUGUACUGAGUUGUUGCCAUUUAUUACACUAUAGGCGGGAUAGUACUGGGCGUUUGAUGCAUUGGUCUCUAAAGCCGGCAUUACAGUAGAUGGUUGUGAUGCAGAAGUCUGAUGACCGGGAGCGCCAUGAGAAGAAAUCACCCGCACAUUAGAAGGCAGAGACCACAUAUUGUUCACGGGGUAAUGUCCUUGUGCUACAGGAGGAUAAUAAUAAUUAGGAGAAGGUAAGGCGAUGGUAGCUGGAAGAGGCGCCGUAACAACUGAAGCAGAAGGGGUAGAAAUAGGCUGUAAAAUGCUAUGCAAAUCCAUUGUUGAAAGGUGAUAGAUAAAUGGAUAGGAACUGUAACCUAAUAAACUUUUAAAAAAAAGAAAAAUCAAAAACAACUUGUGAGAAGUGUUGCUUCUAUGUAAUGCUCAAAAAAAUGAAAUUCACACUCUAAAAAAAUUGGCAUCCAAUGUUAACGAAAAUAUAAAUGCCCAAACCAAAAUCAGGAAUUGAGAGUAGACUAAGUACAAUAAAAAACAGGCAGAUACGGGGAAUCAAGACAAUAAUAAAAAAAAUAAGAAAUCAGGUAUUUUGAAAACAAGGCAAAACAUAAACGGAUGCCCAAGGAGAAAACAAAAAAAGAACAAAAAACAAAAGACGAUCACAAGCUUAUCAAUGAAUGUAAGAUUGAAACAGGAACAGAGAAGCGCGUGAAAAAGAAAAGAAAAGUUUAAAAUGAAUCAAUUACGCUAGCUAUGAUAAUACUUUCACCAGAAAUAAAGAAAUUGGUAAGCAAAUUAAAGAAAAGAGGUAAGGGGGCAAAAACGAAAAACAAAAGAUAAAUCUUCAAUCAACAAAUGGAAAAAUAAAUAUCAGGCGAUAGUGGGAGAAGCAAAAUUUUGUCAAAUUAAACUCAACAAACAAGAUGGUAUAAUCAACGACGAUCGAUUUUUUCAGACUUCUGGCAGCAAAAAAAAAACCACGAAAAAGGCAACACGAAGGGGGAAAAGUACAAAAGAAAGAUUCGCGAAUGCACAAAAAUCGAAAUCAAAACACAAAAGAUAAGCGCGAUACGAAUAGCACGAAAGCGAAAAAAAAAAUUUCAAGAAUAUGCUUGGAUCGGAAACGAAAAGAAAGAUGCUAUUUAGAGCAACAAAAGAGGAAUUCGAAUAGGUGUAUAAAGAGAAAUAUACGAAAUUAUAAAUAGGUGAAAAGAAUGGGUGUAAAUAUGUAUAGGUAUAGAGCUAAAUUGCAAAAUGAAUGGUGGAUUAAUAAAUAAAGGGGAAAGACGAGGAUAUAAACGGGGGAAA
RNAcentral lists this long non-coding RNA (2297 nucleotides) under Schizosaccharomyces pombe (fission yeast). Lineage: Eukaryota; Fungi; Ascomycota; Schizosaccharomycetes; Schizosaccharomycetales; Schizosaccharomycetaceae. The record is from RNAcentral.